Alligator sinensis (Chinese alligator) is the source of this 528-nucleotide long non-coding RNA. RefSeq lists it as uncharacterized. The record is from RefSeq and is a predicted model, not a curated record. The transcript has 4 exons. Lineage: Eukaryota; Metazoa; Chordata; Crocodylia; Alligatoridae.
AUUCCAGAUAUUCAUUAAGUUUUUCAUAUCAUUAAAUGAGAAAAAAUUUCUGGUAGCUUUUGUGAUAUUGAGGACUAAGCUGUUGUUAAAUCUAUUCUUUAUUUUUACUUUUGUCUCUUGGUUUUUUAUUGUAGUAUGUGAACUUCCUUUUUAUGAAAUAUGUGACAAAAAUGUAUCAAGAAUCCAGUGUUCAGCGUUAGGAUGUUGCUUUCAUAAAGAAGUUUGCUAUAAGAAAGCUGUGCCAUCUUACAUGCAGGUAUUCAUCAUCUUGAUACUGGUUAUCAUGGCAGCCUUCAUUUUAUUUGUAUGCUACAGGUGCUGAGGCAUUUGUUCUACAGGCAUGGCUGUGUGAGCUGCCCAGGGAAUGCGCAGUAAACACCUGCUCUGUGUGGUGAAGAAGAACAGAAGUAAGAGAAUGCAUCCUCCAGUAGACACGUCAGAACCAAGUGUCACAUCUUCCAGUGAAUCUAAUGAGGAAGACAUGUCGCAGGAGUAAAAUACAUAUAUAUUCUGGUGGUUAAAAAAGUA